GACAGAGGGUGCAAGCGUUGCUCGGAAUCACUGGGCGUAAAGGGCGUGUAGGCGGAUAGAUAAGUCGGGCGUGAAAUCCCCAGGCUCAACCUGGGAACUGCACUCGAAACUGUUUAUCUUGAGUGCCGGAGAGGAAAGCGGAAUUCCUGGUGUAGAGGUGAAAUUCGUAGAUAUCAGGAGGAACACCAGUGGCGAAGGCGGCUUUCUGGACGGUAACUGACGCUGAGACGCGAAAGCGUGGGGAGCAAACAGG
RNAcentral lists this ribosomal RNA (253 nucleotides) under uncultured bacterium. RNAcentral's name for it is "partial 16S ribosomal RNA". It matches the Rfam family "Bacterial small subunit ribosomal RNA", at positions 524 to 776 of the family's 1533-position model. The record is from RNAcentral.